This 506-nucleotide ribosomal RNA is filed under the name uncultured bacterium. RNAcentral describes it as "partial 16S ribosomal RNA". It matches the Rfam family "Bacterial small subunit ribosomal RNA", at positions 29 to 523 of the family's 1533-position model. The record is from RNAcentral.
AGUGAACGCUGGCGGUAGGCCUAACACAUGCAAGUCGAACGGCAGCACAGAGGAGCUUGCUCCUUGGGUGGCGAGUGGCGGACGGGUGAGGAAUACAUCGGAAUCUACUCUGUCGUGGGGGAUAACGUAGGGAAACUUACGCUAAUACCGCAUACGACCUACGGGUGAAAGCAGGGGACCUUCGGGCCUUGCGCGAUUGAAUGAGCCGAUGUCGGAUUAGCUAGUUGGCGGGGUAAAGGCCCACCAAGGCGACGAUCCGUAGCUGGUCUGAGAGGAUGAUCAGCCACACUGGAACUGAGACACGGUCCAGACUCCUACGGGAGGCAGCAGUGGGGAAUAUUGGACAAUGGGCGCAAGCCUGAUCCAGCCAUACCGCGCGGGUGAAGAAGGCCUUCGGGUUGUAAAGCCCUUUUGUUGGGAAAGAAAUCCAGCUGGCUAAUACCCGGUUGGGAUGACGGUACCCAAAGAAUAAGCACCGGCUAACUUCGUACCAGCAGCCGCCGUAA